This 501-nucleotide ribosomal RNA is filed under the name uncultured Butyricicoccus sp. Its description in RNAcentral is "bacterial SSU rRNA". It matches the Rfam family "Bacterial small subunit ribosomal RNA", at positions 8 to 507 of the family's 1533-position model. The record is from RNAcentral. Lineage: Bacteria; Bacillati; Bacillota; Clostridia; Eubacteriales; Butyricicoccaceae.
AGAGUUUGAUCCUGGCUCAGGAUGAACGCUGGCGGCGUGCCUAACACAUGCAAGUCGAACGGAGCUAUUCAGGAAACUUCCUUCGGGGAGCGGAAUCUUUAGCUUAGUGGCGGACGGGUGAGUAACGCGUGAGCAAUCUGCCUUUGGAUGGGGGAUAACAGCCGGAAACGGCUGCUAAUACCGCAUAAUGCAACGGGAUCGCAUGGUCCUGCUGCCAAAGAUUUAUUGUCCAAAGAUGAGCUCGCGUCUGAUUAGCCAGUUGGCGGGGUAACGGCCCACCAAAGCGACGAUCAGUAGCCGGACUGAGAGGUUGAACGGCCACAUUGGGACUGAGACACGGCCCAGACUCCUACGGGAGGCAGCAGUGGGGAAUAUUGCGCAAUGGGGGGAACCCUGACGCAGCAACGCCGCGUGAUUGAAGAAGGCCUUCGGGUUGUAAAGAUCUUUAAUCGGGGACGAAACAUGACGGUACCCGAGGAAUAAGCUCCGGCUAACUACGUG